This 4898-nucleotide long non-coding RNA is filed under the name Phoenix dactylifera (date palm). Its description in RNAcentral is "long non-coding RNA (PDAC_LNC003686)". The record is from RNAcentral. Lineage: Eukaryota; Viridiplantae; Streptophyta; Magnoliopsida; Arecales; Arecaceae.
GGUUCCGGGUUCGGAUCUGAACUGGGCCCAAGUUGGGCCCACAAAGGUACUGCCCAACUGGGCCCAACCGGACUGGACUGGGCCCAAGUUGGGCCUGCAAUGGAUAGGGCCCAACGGGCCCAGUUUGGCCCGUGAUGGGCCUCCUCCUUCCCCAAAGCCCCCACGGACAGGGGAAGAAGGAAAGACUGAAGAGAGAGAGAGAGGGCUGGCGGGGUGGCCGGCCUGGGUGGCCGGAAGCCACCCCUCGGUCGACGGCCUGCCGCCGCCAUGGCGGCCGGCGGCCGUUGCAGUGGCUGACGGGGAGGAGCAGCAACCGAGGUGAUCUCGGUUGCUGGGGCUGAAACAGAGGGGAAAAAUCAAUUAUUUUGGCAAUAGAACGAAGGCAAGGAUGAGGGAAGCUCACCGGCGGUCGACGAAGGUGGUGGGUCUCGGUCAAGGGAGGCUCGAUCCGGCAGCUAGCAGCGGCGACGGCGGUGGGGCUUCCAACGGCUAAACUAGAUCGAAAAACAGGGGAAUAAGAAAAUCAAAGGAGCAUGGCUCCCGGGGUGGUUGAACUCGAUUGAAGUGGCGCACGCGGUCACCGGAGAAGAAGGAGAAGCAGGGAAGAGAGGGGGGAAGGAGCGAAGGUGCUCGGUGGAGGAUCCAAGGGAGGACGAAAGGGGGUUUUAUAACCCCAUUUCAACGGCUCUCCACCGCAAAACUCAUGGCGAUGGGGCGAAAUCAACGGCCGCUCGUGCGGCCGUGGGGUGGCUGUGGAACAACCGCGGGACUGCCGCAUAACGCCCGCGGCGCCCCGCCCUCGCUGCGCCCGAGGAAGCCGGAGGGGAUCGCGUCUGCGAUCCCCUGCUCUGGCCCCUUCCGAAAGGGGAAUGGGGCUGAAGUCGGUUGGGGCUGCCGACUUCAGCCCCGUAUCUCACAUUCUCUCCCCCUUAAAAAAAAUUUUGUCCUCGAAAUUUAAAAGAUCUAGGCCUUUCAAAUUAGAAUUGCUCAGCCCAUUGAGUAAUAUAAAUCCAAGAUCUCAUUCUUCUCGAUCAAAAUCAGUGUGAUAGAUAGCUUUGGAUCAACUAUCAAAAAUUUUCAUAAAACUCGCAAGAUUAACACUAGAUAAGUGACUGACUAAAAUCUCAUAUUGAAAUUAUCAUCUUGAUGCAUGUUCACUCGAGAUCGGAUCAGGAUCGAUUCACAACAGGAUUGAUUAAAAUUAGUUGUGUUUGGGAUAGAACUUGACAUAAAAUAGAUCUCAUACACUUAUCAUGGUAGUGUGUUGAUCCCUUAAAGGAUAAUGACCAAUCUUAGAAUCAAAUCAUUAUAUGGCUAGUAAUGUAAUUCACAAAAUAAACUUGUACUGAUGAUCAUUAGAUAGCAACGGUCUAUCUUAAAAAUGAUUUGCAUCAAAUCACAAAAACAAGUCUGAGAAGGCAAAGUAUUGAUACCAUGAUUCAAUAUGCCACAAAGCUUUUAACUUAAACUUAUAAAUCAUAAGAUGAGAGUAGAUAAUGCAUGGUUUAUUCAGAUACUUAACAAAUUAGACCAUAUUUGGUCAACAAUCAACUAACCCGAGUCAUGAUACGCUCAAUUAUUAUUAUUAUUAUUUUCUUAGCAUACCCAGAAAUAGCAAAUUCUAUCCAAGAGAUAACAUAAUCAUAUCAUGAUUGACCUGAGAAUCAAUAGUAUACACCUUCCCUUAUUAACAAAAUCUUUCAUUAUUGAAUAACAUAGUCUUUCAUAAUAACAUGUUACCAAAACACAGUCAAUAUUAACAUGUUACCAAAACACAGUCAAUAUUUUUGACCAGUUUAAAUUGACUCAGUCCAUCAUAUUUUCGCUGCGCAACUCUGAUCAAUAUUCUCCAAAAUUUCUUAAUGAUCCCAUAUCAUCAACAUUUUUUUUUAUAAUAUCCAAGCAAAAUUUUAUCCUUGCUUUCCAAGAACACUAGGUCAUGAUUAACCCUUGAAAUAGUUGUCGUAUUUAUACUAUCAUAUAAUCAAGUAAUCAUAUUCUAGAUCCAAAUUUGAACUAACCCAAUUCUAGUUUCCCUUGACAAUUCCAUUAUACAAGUUAAUAUUUAUUCUAAGCUUUGAUAAUUAAAAGAUUCUAGAUUAACUUACUUAGGAGCUUACAUAAUCAUCCUGAAUCUUUUCUUUUAGGCUAAACUUAUUUGGGCCUCUCAUGAAAUCCCACUUGCAUUUCUCAUAUGGUGAUACAAAAUCCACAAUCAACUCAUAGCCUUGAUUAAUAAAUAUUUAACUCACACAAAUCUAAUAAUCUGGUUCAAAGAUUUAUAAGAAAUUCCUCCAAGAUAUAAGCUCUAUGAUUUUACAUUGAGAUCAAUUCCUUAAAUAAGUAAAAUAUUUUUUAUUUGCAAUACUGCAACAUUUCGGAAUCCUGUAAACUACUAGACUUAGAGAAUCUAUUCAAAACACCACAAACUCAUUAACUAUUUCAUCCCUUUAGUAAUAGUUCCCAUUUUUUUAAUAUAUAUAUUGCAGAUAAAAGAAUCUACUAAUAACAAAAUGAUAUCCAUAUUGAUCAAAAUCAAAAACACUAUACUUUCCAAUGAAAUUUUUCAUUAACAAGAAAAACCAUCAAGAACUUUUCCAAAUCAAAGAGGUCCUAUCUUCGACCAACCCAAAAAUAUUUUAAUACUCUAAUAUUCUCAAGACAUACUAAUUGACUUUCCAUCAAAAUAUCAAUCUUAAUUGUUUCAAGUCUCAAGUAGAGCCAAAUAAAAAUUCUUAAGUCUCAUCCCCAAGUAUAUUUUCCUUCUAUAUACGAGUUCCAUGCAUGAUCCACAUACAGAUUUCAAUAAAUAUUUUCUAGUCCAAGCUUUAAACAUCUUUUUAUAGAUGAAACUUAAUUUGCCACCAAAAUAAUUAACUUCAACUAGAAGCAAUAUCCACAGUGCCUGAUAUCAAGUUAAACUUCCAAAAUAAUUACAUUGCACGAUAAUAUCUCAUGAUUAAUAUUCCUUCACUUAAUUUAGUCAAAAUCUAAUUAAUCAUAACUUGAAAUACAAAUUGCUCUACCAAGAAAACUAUCAGAAUAACUUAUUCACACUUUGGUUACAGCCAUAAUUAGGUUGCAUUCUAAUUUUAGCAUUUCAAAAUUCUGAUAAAAUAAUAUAAAUUUAUCAAUAGCAAAAGCAAAUAAAUAUCUUCGUCUAAUGGCCUAAUGUCCACCCAUCUCUUAAACUUUCCGACGAAUCCUAAAGAUCCUAAAACUUAAGCUCCAUCAGACUUAUUUCAAACACAAUCCCUAGGAAUCUGAAACUUGAGCUCUGAUACUACCAAAUCUGUCACGCCCCGAGCCCGAGGCGUGGCAGACGCCGCACGCCCGCACGGCGGGCAGCACAGGCGUGCAAGGCAUCGGAUCAUAUCAAAACAAAUACAGAUGUUCAAAACUGACAUAAUUAUUUAAAUUUAUUCAAAAGCAGUCUUACAAAAUUUCAAAUAACAUAUGCUUACGUAAGUCAAAUACUUUAAUCAAUCUAACUAAAGGACCAAUAACUGAAGGAAUCGUUGGAAAAUCUAACGCACUCCUCAAUCCCGUGAGAUCAAGCCUCUGGAUCUGAAAAAUGGAGAAAAUAGAAUAAUGAGCUACACUAGCCCAGUAAGCAACAAAAUACCCCAAAGUGGGGUCAGAGCAUAUCAGAUCAAAAUACAGGAUAAUGUCUGGAAUAAAUCAUAAAUAAAAUCAUUUUGUUGUUUUCAAAACAUAUUAUCAUUUUUUCAAAAACUCUUAUACCAGAAUCUCAACAUAAUAGGCUACGACCACGUAACCCAGUGGCAUGGGUUGCACAGAGUGCCAGAAACCGCUAUUGUUAGUCACCGGUGGAAACGGUGUCCAGAAACCACUAUUCUAAUCACCGGUGGCACGGUGUCGAAACCGGUUCCUCACAGAUUACAAGUCGACAGGUCCAACGUAUAAUCCCUAUUGGCGGGGCCAGAAUAGAACAGAACAGAUCAUAGCCAUGCUGAGAAUACAUAUAUAUAAAAAAUAGAUUUCAUAAAUUUUCCACUCAUAGUUUACGGAUUUUAGAACAUAAUUUUCAAAUGAAAUUUAACAUGCCAGACCCAUUUUACUAAAUACAAAACAUAUUUUAGAAUUUAAUCAUUUAUCAAAUAAUUUGAAAAUCACACUUGAAGUAUUAAGUUACUUACCUCUUCUCGCUUAAUCCCUACUUCAGAUAGGCGGAUCAGAUUCACUUGUUUAAAUUUAAUUAAUUUCUUGUUAAUUUCAGAGCUAAGCAAAAAUCCAAAAAUAAUACUACUGGGCACGACCCAACAGGGCCCAGAGUUGGUCCAUAAUGAACGUGGCCCGAUAGGGCCCACAUCAGACACGGCCCAAUGGGCCCACAUAGACUCGGCCCAAUAGGGCCCUCCCAAGGUUGGCCUCUAAUUUGUUCAUUUAUGCAAUAAAAAUUCGUUUCAGGGACCAAUGUCUAAUUACAUAGCACCGUUCGUAAUAAAACUUGGGUAAAAGGACCAAACAAAUAUAGUUGAGGGCCUUUAUGUAAUAAAUCUUUCCUACAGGGAUCAAAUACAAAUUUCAGAAUACCUUUUUGUGAAAUAAUAUACUGUCAAUGGAUGAACUAAAAAAUUCCAUUUAUUGGCCAAAUGGGUUCGGAUUUUGGGUUCCGGGUUUCGGGUUCUGGGUUCGAGUUCGGAUCUAAACUGGGCCCAAGUUGGGCCCACAAAGGUACUGCCCAACUGGGCCCAACCGGACUGGACUGGGCCCAAGUUGGGCCUGCAAUGGAUAGGGCCCAACGGGCCCAGUUUGGCCCGUGAUGGGCCUCCUCCUUCCCCAAACCCCCCACGGACAGGGGAAGAAGGAAAGACAGAAGAGAGAGAGAGAGGGCCGGCGGGGUGGCCGGCCUGGGUGGCCGGAAGCCACCCCUC